RNAcentral lists this long non-coding RNA (202 nucleotides) under Lathyrus oleraceus (garden pea). Its description in RNAcentral is "Pisum sativum (pea) long non-coding RNA (PSAT_LNC010949)". The record is from RNAcentral. Lineage: Eukaryota; Viridiplantae; Streptophyta; Magnoliopsida; Fabales; Fabaceae.
UUUCCCUCCAAACCCUUCUAACCAACUUUUAAAAUUCUAACUAAUUUCUAAACUCAAACAAACAAACUCCAUUCCAUAUUUUGCAUUAAAAUUAAUGUAAAACUAACACAUUUGCCUCAAACUUCUUCACUCUAACCAACACACAAACAUAACUAAUUCAACAAUGAUCCUCCACCCUUGAUAAACCCUAGCCUAGAAUCAC